AUGCAGAAGAUUGCUAUGUUGGGCUUCAUGAGAAAAAUAUAUGUAUCUGAAGAUUCUUUGGAUGGACUUGGCAUAGGGAAUUUGGAGGGAUGGAUAUAUUUAAAAAGGCUGUUCCCUCCACGUGGAGUCCCCCCUCCGACCCCCGUCCUCUGCCUCCUGGACACACCUGUCUCCAAAGCACAACAUCAGUGUUGCUUUCUCUGCAGAGUACUGCCAGGUCCUCAAUAUUAUCUCGCAGUGCAUUCUAGCUCUUGAUUACCAGCUGUGAAACUCUAGGUAAGUGAUUUGCUGCUCUGUAACUUGGUUUUCUAGUGUACAAAGUAAGUCUGACAAUAGUGCCUAAGUCAUGUGGUUGUUGUGAGUUGUAAAUGAGAAAACACAUGAAAAGGGCUUAGCACAAUGUCUGAUGCAUACUAACUGCUGAAAAAAUAGAUAUUAUUUCAUACUGGCUCUAUCAGUUGAACUAUCUCUCUCCAAAUCCAUGAGCACCAUGAGAACUUGGUGGUUAUUAUUGCCGACUAACAAACUGCCCCCAAAUUUAGUAGCUUAUAACCACAAUAAUUACUAAUUUUGCUCACAAAUCUGCCAUUUCGGAAGAAUUCAGCUGAGUUGUUUCAUCUCUGCUCCAUGCAGCAAUAACUGAAUCUAUUGCUCGGAUGUCCUUUUUGAUCUCUGGGCUCACUGUGACUGGUUAUAUUCUCCAAAAAUGGCUGUAACCUGCUUUUCUUGCAAUGUAACUUUGACACUGUUUCUGGUAAGAGAUGGGGUCUAUAUUUCUUCAUCUUGUAUGAUAGUGGGCUCAUAACUAUGGUGGGAGAGAUGCUGUGUGAUAUCUGAGGCUAGGACAUCAAUGGUGACACAGCUUACAAUGUCGUCCUUUUGAGGUGCUUGCUCUUAGAAUCCAGUCAGCAUGCCAUGCUGUGAGGAAGCCCAAGUAGCUCAUGGAUUGGCCCAUGUGUUGAGGAAAUAAGGCCCCUGGCCAACAUCGCUGGCUGAGCUCCCAGCUGGUAUGCAGCAUUACCACAGCACCUGUGUGAGUGAGCUGUCCUGAAAGUACAUCCUUUCCAAAGCUGCCUCAGCUUUUGCUUCCUGGAGAAGAGAUGAGAACUAAGUCAACUAAGUCCUUCCCAAAUUGCAGAUUUGUAAACAAAACAAACAAUUAUGGUUUUAAGCUACUAAAUUUUUGGGGUAGUAUGUUACUCAGCAAUAAUAAAAAGCACGUCCUCUUUAGAUCCCGACUUGGAAGAUUUCCAGUUUCUAUGGUCUGCAUGUGUCUGCACCAGUGCCUCCCGCCACCCCAUUUCAGAUGUUAAAUCAUCACCCUCAAGUGAUGGUAUUUGGAGUUGGGGCCUUUAGGAGGCAGUUAGGUCAUGAGGUGGAACCUUCAUGAUAAGAUUGGUGUUUUUACUUAGAAGAGACACCAGAGAGCUCCCUCUCCUUUCACCAUGUGAGCACAGUGAGAAGGCAGCUGUCUGCAACCCAAGGAGAGAGACUUCACCAAAACCCACCCAUAAUGAUGUCUUGAUCUUGGACUUUCUAGCCUUCAAAACUGUGAGAAAUAGACGUCCAAAGUUUAUAAGCCAUUCAGUCUAUGGUAUUUUGUUAUAGCAGCCCAGAUGGACUAAGACACAAACCAUAGUGCAUUAAGUGAACGUACCAAGGAAUUCAAAUGCCAAAGUCAAUGUCAGGAGGGGUCAGAAAGGGGCACAUAACAAGAAGGAAGUUGGAGUAGAGGUGAGCUGGAAGGGCUGGGGGUGUCUGAUGGGCUCACAGGAGGGAGGAGGGCAUUCUGGUAGUGAGGAGAGAAGGAGUCUGGGGGCAGCAGGGGUGGCAGAGGUAGAUGAGGCUGGGUGUCUGGGAGGAAGCUGAGCAUGCAGGAGGCAUCCUUCAGCAUCAGGAUAAAGACUGAAUUAGACUCAUUUUAGAUUCCAGAAUCCAUUCUAGAUUCCAGAAUCCAUUCUAGAUUCCAGAAUCCAUUCUAGAUUCCAGAACAAGAGAGUGACUUGAUAUGCAUGUGUUCUGAAAUGAUUUGUGGAGGCACAUUCUCAGGGUGGAUUGGUGUGGGCAAGAGGCAGGGGAGGGUGAUGGGAGGUUCAACAGAAUUCAUGAAAUGGGAUUGUCUUUGGUCAGGAGACCUCUCCCCUGUAAGGUUGCUCCCAUCAGUGCUCCACGGGCACUGCCCAGGACUCCCUGAUGUCCCUUGUUUUACCCGGUAGGCUGCCUAUGUAUCUUCUAGUGGCACUGCCUCUUUGUUAGUGAAAUGAUGUGUAGACCCUGAUGACAGCUUAGGUUUGAAUCUUUGCUCCAGCUCUUACUUGCCUGUGUAUUCUUGGGGAAGUUAACUAACUUCUUUACCUCAGUUUCCUCAUUUGUGAAAUGGGAAUAAUAAUGAUACAGGAUUUUGUGAGAUAAUUAGUUCACCAUACAAGGAGGAAAUAAUCAGUGAUGUUCACUUUUUUUUUUUUUGAGAUGGAGUCUCGUUCUGUUGCCAGGCUGGAGUGCAGUAGUGUAAUCAUGGCUUACUGCAACCUCUGCCUCUUGGAUUCAAGUGAUUCUGCUGCCUCAGCCUCUUGAGUAGUUGCACCACCAGGUCCAGAUAAUUUUUGUAGAGAUGAGGUUUCACCUUGUUGGCCAGGAUGGUCUUGAUCUCUUGACCUCGUGAUCCUCCCACGUCAUCCUCCCAAAGUGCUGGGAUCACAGGCGUGAGCCACCGUGCCUGGCCAUGUUCACAUUAUUUUAUGGCAUGCCUUCUGCAGGUUUCCAUAGCUGUACUUUGGCAAUAGGUAUGUACUCAUCUUUUGUUUAGUACACUGGGGACUUCACAAAUACCCACCCAUCACCAGCUUACAGUGUAUCCCUUAGAUGGGUUGCUUAUCCAGGAUACAUGAAUUUAAUCAAAUUCUAGGGUAUCUCACUAUUUCCACAUUAUGUUGUUCUUCACUUCCAAAUAGUUGGCAAAGUUCAUGCACUCUGCAUUUACAAAAUUGAACAAAAUCAUUUUCUUUUAGGAGAAUUCAAGCCAAUCAGAUAAUUGCAAAACAUCCUAAGUGGCUUUUGACUAUGGAGAGAAGUAGGGCCAGAAAGAUGACAUCCCCCAGAAUUGGAGCUCAGUUGGGGCUCACAUGAGUCCUACCGAAGAUAGCUAAAAUCUGGAGCCUGUUUUAGGCUUUUGAAACAGAUCAUAUCAGAAAGAAUUCCUCUCUCUCCUCUCUCUUUCUCUGUUGCUCUCAAUUCCUAUAUUCUUCUACCCACCUCCCACCAUCCAUCCAUUCACCCAUCCAUCCAUCCACUAUUCAUCUAUCCAUCCAUCCACUCACCAUCCAUCCAUCCUUCUUGCAUGUGGCCAGAUCAUUUUCAUCUAAAAAACAAACUAGAAUUGAUAUAUUUGUUAAUUUGGUUACUCAGUUGAAUUGACCAAACCGAUGACCUGUUUUAGUUAUAUAGACCCAACUAAAAUAUUAACAUUGUUCUGAUUUAAAAAAAAUCAGCAAUCUUCAUUUGUAUUUAUUUAUUUAUUUUUGAGAUAGGGUCUCGGUCGGUCACCCUGGCUGGAGUGCAGUGGCAUGAUCUUGGCUCACUGCAACCUCCACCUCCGAAGUUCACUCCUGCCUCAGUCUCCCGAGUAGCUGGGAUUACAGGUACAUGGUACCUGCCCCCAUGCCUGUUUAAUUUUUUGUAUUUUAAGUAGAGACAGGGUUUCACCAUGCUGGCCAGGCUAGUUUUGAACUACUGACCUCAGGUGAUCCAUGUGCCUUGGCCUCCCAAAGUGUGAGAUUACAGGCAUGAGCCACCAUGCCCAGCCUGUAUUCAGCUGUGUUUUUGAUAUGUGAUUCAUUCUUAAUAUUUAUUAGUAUGAAUAGGUACUUGUUAUAAAUGAAGGUGGAGUUUAUAAAUAUAUUUGAAGCUCCAGUGGGUUAUGAUAACUCCCCUAUAGUCUUGUGUUCCUGUAGGCAUUCCCGAUGGAUGCUUUUUCUCAAGGCCAGAAGGACAAAAAGCUUUCUUGAUGUUGAUUGGAGCCAUAAAAUGAAACACAUGGGAAAAGCACAUUGCUUCUAUUACGAUCUUUCCUAUAUUAGAUAUAGAAUCCUCUUAUUUCAUAAGGCCUUCAAGCACUGAUUUUUAAAAAAAAAAUCUUUUCUCUUUCAUUUAUAGUUGGUGCCUCAGGCAUCAGUAUAUGGUGGGUGCUUAAUAAAUAAUAAUAACAGUUAUUAUUAUGGAGCAGAAAUCUGCUGAUCCUUUCACAUGAAUGGAACCUUGAGACCUCUUUUCUAUUAUGUAGUAGGGUGUAUUUGUUUUAACACAUUAUUGUAGCUUUUUAUUUCAGUACAUCAGCAUUCCAUUUAUUCACAUGCUUUGGAAUUUAUGGUUAUUACUGUGUCUGUUUUUCUGUCUCC
This 4394-nucleotide long non-coding RNA is filed under the name Callithrix jacchus (white-tufted-ear marmoset). Its description in RNAcentral is "lncRNA (ENSCJAG00000070345.1)". Lineage: Eukaryota; Metazoa; Chordata; Mammalia; Primates; Cebidae. The record is from RNAcentral.